This 492-nucleotide ribosomal RNA is filed under the name uncultured bacterium. RNAcentral describes it as "partial 16S ribosomal RNA". It matches the Rfam family "Bacterial small subunit ribosomal RNA", at positions 29 to 507 of the family's 1533-position model. The record is from RNAcentral.
AGUGAACGCUGGCGGUAGGCCUAACACAUGCAAGUCGAACGGCAGCACAGUAAGAGCUUGCUCUUACGGGUGGCGAGUGGCGGACGGGUGAGGAAUACAUCGGAAUCUACUUUUUCGUGGGGGAUAACGUAGGGAAACUUACGCUAAUACCGUAUACGACCUACGGGUGAAAGUAGGGGAUCUUCGGACCUUGCGCGAUUGAAUGAGCCGAUGUCGGAUUAGCUAGUUGGCGGGGUAAAGGCCCACCAAGGCGACGAUCCGUAGCUGGUCUGAGAGGAUGAUCAGCCACACUGGAACUGAGACACGGUCCAGACUCCUACGGGAGGCAGCAGUGGGGAAUAUUGGACAAUGGGCGCAAGCCUGAUCCAGCCAUACCGCGUGGGUGAAGAAGGCCUUCGGGUUGUAAAGCCCUUUUGUUGGGAAAGAAAAGCAGCAGGUUAAUACCCCGCUGUUCUGACGGUACCCAAAGAAUAAGCACCGGCUAACUUCGUG